CGUAGGUGGCAAGCGUUGUCCGGAAUUAUUGGGCGUAAAGCGCGCGCAGGCGGUUCCUUAAGUCUGAUGUGAAAGCCCCCGGCUCAACCGGGGAAGGUCAUUGGAAACUGGGGAACUUGAGUGCAGAAGAGAAGAGCGGAAUUCCACGUGUAGCGGUGAAAUGCGUAGAGAUGUGGAGGAACACCAGUGGCGAAGGCGGCUCUUUGGUCUGUAACUGACGCUGAGGCGCGAAAGCGUGGGGAGCAAACAGGGAUUAGAUACCCUGGUAGUCCACGCCGUAAACGAUGAGUGCUAAGUGUUAGAGGGUUUCCGCCCUUUAGUGCUGCAGCUAACGCAUUAAGCACUCCGCCUGGGGAUACGGCCGCAAGGCUG
Molecule: ribosomal RNA, 372 nt
Filed under: uncultured organism
Description: bacterial SSU rRNA
Rfam family: Bacterial small subunit ribosomal RNA
Source: RNAcentral